UACGGAGGGUGCGAGCGUUGUCCGGAAUCACUGGGCGUAAAGGGCGCGUAGGCGGCCUUCUAAGUCGAACGUGAAAUCCCCGGGCUCAACCCGGGAACUGCGUCCGAUACUGGGAGGCUUGAAUCCGGGAGAGGGAUGUGGAAUUCCAGGUGUAGCGGUGAAAUGCGUAGAUAUCUGGAGGAACACCGGUGGCGAAGGCGGCAUCCUGGACCGGUAUUGACGCUGAGGCGCGAAAGCCAGGGGAGCAAACGGG
This 253-nucleotide ribosomal RNA is filed under the name uncultured bacterium. Its description in RNAcentral is "partial 16S ribosomal RNA". It matches the Rfam family "Bacterial small subunit ribosomal RNA", at positions 524 to 776 of the family's 1533-position model. The record is from RNAcentral.